Molecule: ribosomal RNA, 434 nt
Filed under: uncultured bacterium
Lineage: Bacteria
Description: partial 16S ribosomal RNA
Rfam family: Bacterial small subunit ribosomal RNA
Source: RNAcentral
AGCGAACGCUGGCGGCAUGCCUAACACAUGCAAGUCGAACGAACCUUUCGGGGUUAGUGGCGGACGGGUGAGUAACACGUGGGAACGUGCCUUUAGGUUCGGAAUAACUCAGGGAAACUUGUGCUAAUACCGAAUGUGCCCUUCGGGGGAAAGAUUAAUCGCCUUUAGAGCGGCCCGCGUCUGAUUAGCUAGUUGGUUGAGGUAAUGGCUCACCAAGGCGACGAUCAGUAGCUGGUCUGAGAGGAUGAUCAGCCACAUUGGGACUGAGACACGGCCCAAACUCCUACGGGAGGCAGCAGUGGGGAAUAUUGCGCAAUGGGCGAAAGCCUGACGCAGCCAUGCCGCGUGAAUGAUGAAGGUCUUAGGAUUGUAAAAUUCUUUCACCGGGGACGAUAAUGACGGUACCCGGAGAAGAAGCCCCGGCUAACUUCGUG